AUUGAACGCUGGCGGCAUGCCUUACACAUGCAAGUCGAACGGCAGCACGGGAGCUUGCUCCUGGUGGCGAGUGGCGAACGGGUGAGUAAUACAUCGGAACGUACCCAGUAGUGGGGGAUAACGCACCGAAAGGUGCGCUAAUACCGCAUACGACCUAAGGGUGAAAGCGGGGGACCGUAAGGCCUCGCGCUAUUGGAGCGGCCGAUGUCUGAUUAGCUAGUUGGCGGGGUAAAGGCCCACCAAGGCGACGAUCAGUAGCUGGUCUGAGAGGACGAUCAGCCACACUGGGACUGUGACACGGCCCAGACUCCUACGGGAGGCAGCAGUGGGGAAUUUUGGACAAUGGGGGCAACCCUGAUCCAGCAAUGCCGCGUGUGCGAAGAAGGCCUUCGGGUUGUAAAGCACUUUUGUCAGGGAAGAAAUCUUUUGGGCUAAUACCCCGGAAGGAUGACGGUACCUGAAGAAUAAGCACCGGCUAACUACGUGCCAGCAGCCGCAGUAA
RNAcentral lists this ribosomal RNA (502 nucleotides) under uncultured bacterium. RNAcentral's name for it is "partial 16S ribosomal RNA". It matches the Rfam family "Bacterial small subunit ribosomal RNA", at positions 30 to 523 of the family's 1533-position model. The record is from RNAcentral.